Molecule: ribosomal RNA, 253 nt
Filed under: uncultured bacterium
Lineage: Bacteria
Description: partial 16S ribosomal RNA
Rfam family: Bacterial small subunit ribosomal RNA
Source: RNAcentral
UACAGAGGGGGCAAGCGUUAUUCGGAAUCAUUGGGCGUAAAGAGCUCGUAGGCGGCCUGUCGCGUCCGCUGUGAAAUCCCGGGGCUUAACCCCGGGCGUGCAGUGGAUACGGGCUGGCUGGAGGCAGGCAGGGGAGAACGGAAUUCCCGGUGUAGCGGUGAAAUGCGCAGAUAUCGGGAGGAACACCGGUGGCGAAGGCGGUUCUCUGGGCCUGUACUGACGCUGAGGAGCGAAAGCGUGGGGAGCGAACAGG